AAAUUGAAGAGUUUGAUCAUGGCUCAGAUUGAACGCUGGCGGCAGGCCUAACACAUGCAAGUCGAACGGUAAGAGGAAGCAGCUUGCUGCUU
This 92-nucleotide ribosomal RNA is filed under the name Salmonella enterica. RNAcentral's name for it is "partial 16S ribosomal RNA". It matches the Rfam family "Bacterial small subunit ribosomal RNA", at positions 1 to 88 of the family's 1533-position model. The record is from RNAcentral. Lineage: Bacteria; Pseudomonadati; Pseudomonadota; Gammaproteobacteria; Enterobacterales; Enterobacteriaceae.